UUACCGGCGUGAGUCACCGUGCCCAGCUAUUUUUUUUUUUUUAAUUAAAUAAAAAUCUGCUGCCUCUCCAAGCAGAAUCCUUUUGAAAGCAAAGGGCCCGUGGUUCAGCCUUCAGUUCACUCUUUUGUGCUUGGCACAGCACUUGGCAUUCUGUAGCAAAUACUCCUUUGGAAAGAGAGAUUAAGCAACUUGCCAAAACCAUUCAGGUAGUAAAUGAUAGACUCACAUUUUGAACACAUACCCUGCUCAUCACACCCUCUCAUGGAGUUCUCAUCAGCACCACGCUCAGUGCACCAGGUGAGUCCCCCUUCUUUUUUGAGGUCACCCCCACUCGGCUUCUGAACGUCCCAAACAGGGAAUUUUGUCCACUCCUACCCCCACGUUCAGUCUGCCCUCUCCCUAACAGACAGCAUCCUAAACCUGGUGAACUAAAUUUACUGGUAAAUGGCUAGUGGGCUAAUGGCACUUUGGUGAUUGUCCUUUGCUAAUUUUAUCGUUCUUAGGAAGUUGUUCUCAACCCCAGCACUUUCCAUUUGGGAGCUUUUUCAGAGGCCGGAAUCUCUCUAUUUACAACCAAAACGCCAGGGUGGCAGCGAGAGGGCGCGGUCCAGUUGUGGUACGCCCCUGGCCACUCUGCGGCACCGUUACCCCUACGCCCGAGCCACCGGCGCGCCCCGUUGUAGCCACUGGAGACACCACACGGUCUUUUAGGAAAGCGGGCCAUUAACCGGUGUUCAACAGAGAAACAUGGCCACCUCCCCACGGGCGGCUGCUGAUCUGCGGUGGAGACCUCGUCCCCCGCAGAGAGCGACCGAAAUCCCCUUGGGCCGCUGGGUCUUGCAUGGCUGGAUGCCUGGAUGCCGCCUGUCCAAGGCUUUAGCGACCGUGUCUCCCUUCAUGACCUUGGCCUCUGUGACAGGCAGGCCCAGCAGCUGCCCCAACAUCCCGGUCAGCUGGAGCCUGUUUUCCUGACAUGGGUUUUCUCUAAACUUCAUGUCAGAUUGGAAGCGCACUGCUGAGAAGUCCCACGAGAGGGCCCGGACAUCUCAGUACCCUGGCUCCAAGGUGGAGCGAAGCCUGGUUCCCCAUGAGAAAGUGAGCUGGCUGGCCGAGUGACGAGAGUAACGCCCCGAGAGUACACUGCCAGCUCUGUCUUGGACGGGCCCAUGUGGGCAGACCCUCAAGUAGGUGAAAGGAACUUCUCUCCUAAGUUUAACGAAAAGAAUGGGCAUGUGGAGAGAAGGAGCCAGCAUGGCUUGUAUGAGAUUGAGAAAGGUAGACUUAGAACUCCUGCAUGUGGGACAGGACUGGUUGGCCCAGGGCUUUUGGGGUGUUGAGGCCCCAAUCAUGCUGCAGAUCCCAUCUUAACCAGAUGGAAAAGGGAUAGCAAGGGAAACUAAAUUACCCACCCUAUUUCUGGGAAAAAUAUCCUGCAAUUUGUAGCCAUCAAAAGGAAGGACUGCGGAGAAUAGGCAAUCCCAGGGUGGGUGGUGGAUCCAGGAGAGAAAAUCAGUGCUACAUUGGAGAGAGAAUUUGGCUAGGAAGCCAUGAAGUCUUUAUAGAAAUCUAGGGAAGAAAUGCAGGAGUUGGAGAGACAAUUGCACAAAUUCUUCAGCCAGGAACAUUUUGUGGUCUAUAAAGGCUACGUGGACAAUUCUCGGAACACAGAUAACUCCUGGAUAGAGACAGAGGCUGUAAACUACCAUGAUGAAACCAGUGAAAUAAUGGACCAUCUUCCUCUGGAAGCUGGCAAUGAUGCCAAGAAAGUGAAAUGGGUGGAUAUUAAUGAUAAAUUUGAGCUUUAUGCCAGCCACUCCCAAUUUAUUCAACUUGUAUCUGAGAAACAAGGUGCCCACUGGAGUGAGGACAUGUAUCUUGAUUGCCAGGGAUAGUGGCUUGGAGUCUCGUGUGAGCCAAAGGCCUUCAGAUGAUCAAGAGUGGGUAAGAGGCAAACAGCACAUAACUCCCACUAAAUAGGACAGGGAAGGUCACCUCUUUGGUGAUUAAUUCCAAAACUGUGCUAUAUGAAGGCUUUGUAUUAGGGAAUAAUAUUAGACAAAUAUGGGGAAAUGGGAUCACAGAAGUUUUGGCUUUCCUGUUAGAAGAAUAUACUCACAUGCUGUAUAUAUUGUAUACAUGGUUUAAACUAACUUACACAACUACUGCUCUUUGGAGAAUUGUAAGAAAAACAAUGACAUCUUCCUUAACAACCAUAGCCUCUACUUUUCAGCCAGUUUGCAUUUGUCAAUUCUUCUUCCUCCUGAUGUUUUAAUGUGGCAUAAUCUAAUGUAUAAUCUGACUUUUGAGUUAACAUUUAUUUUUUAAAUUUAGCAUUAUGUGGUCUUGUUUUCCUUGCUUUUGAGUAUGGGAGCUUUCUGGCUUUUUUUUUUUUUUUUUUUUUAAGAGCUUCAGUUUUAUGGGAAAAGUUCAAUCUCUAUUUUGGUCCACAAGGAUCAAGUGCUUAUGAACCAGACCAAAAAAAAAAAAAAAAA
Molecule: non-coding RNA, 2492 nt
Organism: Chlorocebus sabaeus (green monkey)
Lineage: Eukaryota; Metazoa; Chordata; Mammalia; Primates; Cercopithecidae
Source: RefSeq, a predicted model, not a curated record